This 776-nucleotide long non-coding RNA is filed under the name Pelobates cultripes (western spadefoot toad). Lineage: Eukaryota; Metazoa; Chordata; Amphibia; Anura; Pelobatidae. The record is from RNAcentral.
GUUUUAAUAUAAUUGUGCAAACUCUAAUAGAGGACUUAGGUGUCAAGAUCUAUCUUGGGAUGUUGGAUAUUAAUACAAAUUUGGCCAGGUAACAGCCAAGAUGUGGGUGACCUCUGGACUCACGAAGAGUCAUCCUUCAGCACUCAGGAAAGGAAAAACCUCCUGUGGAGGAAACCUCUGGGGAACCAUGGCUGGAAGGACUGCCCUUCCCUCUGGGCAUUAAGAGGCAAAUACAGAGAAUUCAGUAGAUGAAGGGCUUAGUCUUUUAUAAAUUAUAUAACUUGGUGGAGAGACAGAAAGACAGGCAGAAACACAGACUGACAUAGAGAGAAAAACAGACAGAUAUAUAUAGACGGAUUACUAAAGCAGACUAAACAGAGAUUGAUACAUACCGAUAGCUGGAAAAAAGUUGCUCAUUAAGUAAUCCCCUCCCUGCCCUAUUUGCAAUCCGCCCAAUCCCUUGAUGAAGCACCAAUAUUUGAUAAUGGGUAUACGAGUAGCUGCACGGAAUACAACGCCCCCUGCUAGAACCUCCAUUGCUAAGAUUAGAUUGAGGAUAGUCAAGCUCCAAGUCUUCAGACACAUCCAAGUGAGGCAGAGAUCUCUAAGCCAUUGAGAAGGUACGAGAACCAUGAAUAUAGGUGAAGCUCUGUCAGGGUCUCAGUUAUAACUGGAAAGGAAUAGAAUGUUCAAGCAGUUACAGCAGCAAUUAUGUUUAUGACAUCACAGCAUGACAUCACCUAUUAUGAUCUCACUGCUAAUGAUCACAGCUCCUG